This 29-nucleotide small RNA is filed under the name Bombyx mori (domestic silkworm). Its description in RNAcentral is "ovarian small RNA-3355". The record is from RNAcentral. Lineage: Eukaryota; Metazoa; Arthropoda; Insecta; Lepidoptera; Bombycidae.
UCCCGUAUCACGUACGCAGCUGCGGCCUG